CAGCUUCUUGGACAGCACUAAGUCGUCCUCCUCGCGUUGCGUGAGGUUGACGUCGUUGGUCUCGAUGGGAGCUGG
Molecule: transfer RNA, 75 nt
Filed under: Pyrenophora tritici-repentis
Lineage: Eukaryota; Fungi; Ascomycota; Dothideomycetes; Pleosporales; Pleosporaceae
Description: tRNA-Gln
Source: RNAcentral